This 70-nucleotide transfer RNA is filed under the name Phrynosoma platyrhinos (Desert horned lizard). RNAcentral's name for it is "tRNA-OTHER". The record is from RNAcentral. Lineage: Eukaryota; Metazoa; Chordata; Lepidosauria; Squamata; Phrynosomatidae.
UCAGGCAUGGCAUAAUGGUUUGAGUGUUGGACUAUGACUCUGGAGACCGUGGUUCGAUUCCCUGAGUGAA